Molecule: long non-coding RNA, 1242 nt
Filed under: Homo sapiens (human)
Lineage: Eukaryota; Metazoa; Chordata; Mammalia; Primates; Hominidae
Description: HSALNT0227438
Source: RNAcentral
UGAAGACCACAUGAUGGAAGACAGGUGUCGGGCAUAGUCCGAGCAAUUCCAGAUCCUCACCCACAAGAAUCACCGGCUCAGUGCCGGCCACUGGCUGCUGGAGAACAGCAGGAGCAGGAGAGACUCUCGAUAGGGAAACCCGGGGCUGCUGCCUCCUUCAAGGAGGGGAUAAAGCAGAGGAAAUGAAUCACUGCAGGGCAAGAAGGACAGGACUGAAGGGCUGCCCUGGAGGGGGCACUGCCACCCACUCUUGUCCCAGCUACUAGGCCCAGGAGAAGAGAGAGGAGGGAGUUACUGUGAGACCUGUUGGCUCUGCAGGGCCUCAAGCAUCCUAGGGAGAAGGUUGUGGGUGGGAUGCAGGAGCUGGCGACGGAAGCAUCGGGUGUGACAGGAGGAGCCAAGGCCAGACCCUGAGGAGCACUGGCCAAGUGACAAACCCACCAGCAGGGGCUGGAGAGCUGCUGCAGCCCAGGAGAUGGGGUCUUUGGGGAAGGGAGGGAGAGUGCCAAGGGCUACAGAGAACCCAGUCAGGUAGGAGCGAAGGAGCAAGUGCACGUAGGAUGUUGCACUUAGCAACGGAGCCACUGGUCAAGAAGGCAGUGGCAGGGCCCAGAGUAAGCCCGGUUGUGGGUUGAGGUGCAUGCAGUGGGUGAGGAUGUGGCUAUCAGGGAGAACAGGUCUCUCCUUCCGGCUGGAGUUGCAGGGAGAUAGUUUUCCCAAAGAGGCAGAGGCUUGAGCUGAUGGGAGGGAGCCCAGAAAGAUGGGGCUGAACUAUGGACUGUGGCUCUAAGGAGUCAAAAGAGGGUGAACGGUGGACAGGACGGCGCGGCCCCCACACACUCAACGUGGGCUCCCAGAGCACCAGCGGCCACCCAAUCUCCUGGGCUGACAGAGCAGAAGAUGAAGAAACGGAGGUGCGGAGCAGAGAAGCGACCUGGUCAAGGAACCCAGUGGCAGAGUCAGACCCCCACCUCCUCACCUGUCCCCAGAGCCUGUGCUCUUAGCCCAGCACAGCUGAAUGGGAUCCCUCCUCAUCCAACUCACCCAAAUACCUUUCAGAAGAUGUAAAGUGGCUUCUCAAAAGGAUCAAAGAGGCCAGGCACGGUGGCUCACACCUGUAAUCCCAGCACUCUGGGAAGCCGAGGCGGGUGGAUCACCUGGGGUUAGGGGUUUGAGGCCAACCUGACCAACAUGGUGAAACCUCGUGUCUACUAAAAAUACGAAAAUUAGCUGGGCGUGGCG